This 422-nucleotide ribosomal RNA is filed under the name uncultured Bacteroidales bacterium. RNAcentral describes it as "bacterial SSU rRNA". It matches the Rfam family "Bacterial small subunit ribosomal RNA", at positions 355 to 774 of the family's 1533-position model. The record is from RNAcentral. Lineage: Bacteria; Pseudomonadati; Bacteroidota; Bacteroidia; Bacteroidales.
UGAGGAAUAUUGGUCAAUGGGCGAGAGCCUGAACCAGCCAAGUCGCGUGAAGGAAGACGGUUCUAUGAAUUGUAAACUUCUUUUGUACAGGAAUAAAGUGGGUUACGUGUAACCUUUUGUAUGUACUGUACGAAUAAGGAUCGGCUAACUCCGUGCCAGCAGCCGCGGUAAUACGGAGGAUCCGAGCGUUAUCCGGAUUUAUUGGGUUUAAAGGGUGCGUAGGUGGACGUAUAAGUCAGUGGUGAAAGUUUGCAGCUUAACUGUAAAAUUGCCAUUGAAACUGUAUGUCUUGAGUGCAAAUGAGGUAGGCGGAAUGUGUUGUGUAGCGGUGAAAUGCUUAGAUAUAACACAGAACUCCGAUUGCGAAGGCAGCUUACUGGGAUGCAACUGACACUGAGGCACGAAAGCGUGGGUAUCAAACA